This 84-nucleotide ribosomal RNA is filed under the name Paenibacillus pabuli. The record is from RNAcentral. RNAcentral also lists the same sequence under 1 other name. Lineage: Bacteria; Bacillati; Bacillota; Bacilli; Caryophanales; Paenibacillaceae.
CCCAUCCCGAACACGACCGUUAAGCCCUCUAGCGCCGAUGGUACUUGGACCGCAGGGUCCUGGGAGAGUAGGACGCCGCCAAGC